GACUCAGUGGUUCAAUGGUAAGGCGCUAGUCGCGGAGCCGGAGGUCCCUAGGUUCGAUCCCCAACGGGGUCG
RNAcentral lists this transfer RNA (72 nucleotides) under Schistosoma japonicum. RNAcentral describes it as "tRNA-OTHER". The record is from RNAcentral. Lineage: Eukaryota; Metazoa; Platyhelminthes; Trematoda; Strigeidida; Schistosomatidae.